Molecule: long non-coding RNA, 693 nt
Organism: Oreochromis niloticus (Nile tilapia)
Lineage: Eukaryota; Metazoa; Chordata; Actinopteri; Cichliformes; Cichlidae
Exons: 2
Source: RefSeq, a predicted model, not a curated record
GACUAAGUUUGUGGUCAAAGGCUUGCACCCAUUUGCCACAGCAGAUGCCCCCGAUUUUCGAAUGACGAGAUCUGGGAAGAUGUGAAAGCUGAAAAGCUGCUGAGAAAUCCAGGAAAGAAAAUGUGAGAGGAGAGUACGCAAUACUGCGUAACUUAGGUAAACAGUAUUCCGUUUAAAACGAUACUCAGUUAGUGCUGAGGAGCCCAAAGUGUGCCAAGAAUAUAUCCUGCACACGAUUGCCAGCAGCAGUGAACCACUGAUACAAGGCAGGAUGGAUCUUUUCAUGUUGUUUAUGUCACAUUCUGACUACACCAUCUGAAUGUUGCAGCAGAAAUCAUUUUCGCCUCUGCAUCACGCUCAAACACUCCACACAGCAUGCUCUGCAGACUGUGACAAAGCACAGCUGUUGUUGAAUAUAAAAGGCCCCUGUGGUUCACUUUUUAUUGCCUGUAUAAUGACUAAUACUAUAAUAAUUAAGUAAUUAUUGACUAUGACUAAUUAUAAUAAAGUAAGUUUAAUCUGAUCAUCUCUGUAGACUCACAGGGCUAUAUUGAGUAUAUUGUGAUUGAAAACAUAUUUUUGUGCAACUGAGUUAAAAAGACUUGGAAUAAUGUAAAGCGUCAUGAAAUUCAUGUGUGACCAACUUAAUGAGAAAUCAUGUUGAAGUAAAAUGUAGAGAAGAAGAAAAUGUAA